AAACUAAACUAUUGAAAUAUAAACACAAUAACAUCAAGAAGGGGCUUUUUCCAGAGUGAGGCUGGUGCAUUGCACUGCGCAUCGCAAUCACCUCUACGAUUACAACUAACGACGGUAACAUGACGGUAUAAUUUCUCGUUGCAGAAGCCUGUGUACGCGCAUCUUUCAU
This is a non-coding RNA of Hydra vulgaris (swiftwater hydra), 169 nucleotides long. Lineage: Eukaryota; Metazoa; Cnidaria; Hydrozoa; Anthoathecata; Hydridae. The record is from RefSeq and is a predicted model, not a curated record.